CCAAAAACUGAGUAGGAUUGGAGUACCUUAUCUAAAAAGGUGAGGUAUGGAACUUGAGGACUGAACAAUUUGGGAUGAGAAAGUUACAAAAGUAAUGAACAAACAAAGAAAAUGGGUGUGUUUAUGUUGUAUCUCCAGGGAGGCAGGGGCAACCAUGGACUUUUUGCUCGAAUAGCUGGAAAGCCAGAAACGAAUAUCUUACACAUUCAGUGGAGGACCUGAGGCCAGUACCACUGAAGGUUGCUGUUGUAAUAUCUAAAAGAUCCACUUACCAGGUCAUAUUAUGGGGAAGAAACCUGUAAUAGAGUUUAGGGGUCACCUGAUACCAAAUCAGACGAGGGGCUGUGUCAAACCUUGGGGGUUUCUGGCAAAACGAAUCCUGUUGGUAACAAGAGCUGAGGCUCUGGCUUUGGUUUGUUCAUGUUACUGGCUUUCCAUUGUGUUAGGUUUCAAAUAGAAAAUGGUUGUGGGAUACAGGGGAUUUGUAGAUGAAUUCUGCCCCAGGGGUUGAGAUAAAUUGUUACAGAUUCUCAGCUUGAGAUUCCUUCUACACUGCCAAUUGCUUAGCUUGACAGUAUUUUUGGGCAUCUGAGCCCAGUUUCAGCCACCAGAAAGAAAGCUUAAGAGCGGUCAUGAUGAAAACAAAUUCUCCUCAUUUCCUUAUACCUACCAGCAAAGCCAAGAGAAACCCUACUAGAUGUGUAUUACUUUGAAUGUUACCCAUGUAGCAGGCACCUGUACAAGUUUCACUGCACUUUUUUUCCCCCUGGGCUAAGUGAUUGUGGCUGCAAUUGUGGGAGGACACAGAUUUUGUUUACGAAUAUUUUUCCAAAUCUAUAUAACACUAUUUAAAAUGCUUCUAAUUUAUACUUUUUCUCAGUUCUCUUGCCAGAUUGGACUUCAGAGCACCCACAGAUCUUGACUUCUUGCCACCUCAUUAUAAACAGUAUUAUUCUAUGAGAAAUGUAGCCCCACAUGCCUACAAUGAGAACUGCUAUUAAAUGAUGCUUAAAUGAGUCACUUCCUGAAACAACUACAUCACUCUCUCUCCAUCUGAGGUUCUAGUUCACAUUCCUUUUGCUCCAUUCAACCCAACAGCUCAUAAUGUUACUGCCACAGGUUCUUUUAGUGACUUCACUUUGGUCUUAUGCACAUGGAGAAAUAACUAUCACCCAAACUCCGGAGUUCUCCAUCAAAAGGGAAAAUGCUACUGUACGUAUGUAUUGCGUUCUCCAGGGCAUCUCUGAAAAUAUUGCCAGUGCCAUCAUUCACUUGUAUCAUCAAAGCCCUGGUGAAGCUCCAAAGAGAGUUCUGUUCUUCACAUCAGGAAAAUCCACUUUUGAUGACAACUCUCAGGCAAAGAAUUUUCAAGUUACAAUAGAUCCUCAAAAAUCCCGCUAUACUUUCUAUGUAAAUAGUAUAAAGAAAAUGGAUGCCGGUGUCUACUACUGUGCUUACUGGAACAUCCACAGUGUUAGAAAACCAUGAAUAACCUGUACAAAAACUCACUCCUCAUUUUCAACCAUAUUGUUAUAACCAUAUGAAACCACA
Molecule: non-coding RNA, 1551 nt
Organism: Gavialis gangeticus (Gharial)
Lineage: Eukaryota; Metazoa; Chordata; Crocodylia; Gavialidae
Source: the annotation of a RefSeq genome assembly